RNAcentral lists this ribosomal RNA (261 nucleotides) under uncultured bacterium. Its description in RNAcentral is "partial 16S ribosomal RNA". It matches the Rfam family "Bacterial small subunit ribosomal RNA", at positions 526 to 779 of the family's 1533-position model. The record is from RNAcentral.
CGUAGGUGGCAAGCGUUAUCCGGAAUUAUUGGGCGUAAAAGCGCGCGUAGGCGGUUUUUUAAGUCUGAUGUGAAAGCCCACGGCUCAACCGUGGAGGGUCAUUGGAAAACUGGAAAAACUUGAGUGCAGAAGAGGAAAAGUGGAAUUCCAUGUGUAGCGGUGAAAAUGCGCAGAGAUAUGGAGGAACACCAGUGGCGAAAGGCGACUUUCUGGUCUGUAACUGACGCUGAUGUGCGAAAGCGUGGGGGAUCAAACAGGAUU